GUGAGGAAUAUUCCACAAUGGGGGAAACCCUGAUGGAGCGAUACCGCGUGCAGGAAGACGCUUUUCGGAGUGUAAACUGCUUUUAAUAGGGAAGAUUAUGACGGUACCUAUAGAAUAAGGACCGGCUAACUACGUGCCAGCAGCCGCGGUAAUACGUAGGGUCCAAGCGUUAUUCGGAAUUACUGGGCGUAAAGCGUACGUAGGCGGCUUGAUAAGUUGGAUGUGAAAUCCUGUGGCUCAACCACAUGGACUGUGUCCAAAACUAUCAGGCUAGAGCAUAGUAGAGGCAAGUGGAAUUUGCGGUGUAGGAGUGACAUCCGUAGAUAUCGCAAGGAACACCAAUGGCGAAGGCAGCUUGCUGGGCUAUUGCUGACGCUCAGGUACGAAAGCGUGGGGAGCGAACGGGAUUAGAUACCCGAGUAGUCC
RNAcentral lists this ribosomal RNA (426 nucleotides) under uncultured bacterium. RNAcentral's name for it is "bacterial SSU rRNA". It matches the Rfam family "Bacterial small subunit ribosomal RNA", at positions 354 to 796 of the family's 1533-position model. The record is from RNAcentral.